Molecule: long non-coding RNA, 657 nt
Filed under: Medicago truncatula (barrel medic)
Lineage: Eukaryota; Viridiplantae; Streptophyta; Magnoliopsida; Fabales; Fabaceae
Description: long non-coding RNA (MTRU_LNC006075)
Source: RNAcentral
UAUCACUAUUAAGUCCACUAGAAACUCUCUUUUGCAAAUGAUAAUAAUGUUGAAUCAUUUUUCAUACAACUGGUUAGCUUUUUUAUUUGAGUGAAUUCUAACAUUUUGUCAUGUUAUGAUUGAGAACUAUUUUCCGUGUGAAAAAAUAACGAUUCUUGUGUCUGAAAUUUAAAGGAAAAUUGACUUUGACAAGUUCCCUUCUUGCUGCACCUGGAACAAACAUACAAGAGGUUGCUGGAGAUGUCCAAAUGAUAGAGGUUUUAAUAAACAAUCUUACACCGAGUAAAAGGCCGCGAGCAGAAGGUAUAGUUUUGAACUCCAAAUCUAUUUAGUUUAAGUUAUUAUCAUUAAGUAAGAGUUGUGCAAUGUUGUGAUUAAUUCACACCACGACAACAUCAAUCAACAGCUGAAAUCGUGAAAUCCUAUACUCGACCUCGACUGCGACCAUUAUUUAACAUUUGUCAUGUUAUGAUUGAGAACUAUUUUCCGUGUGAAAAAUAACGAUUCUUGUGUCUGAAAUUUAAAGGAAAAUUGACUUUGACAAGUUCCUUUCUUGCUGCACCUGGAACAAACAUGCAAGAGGUUGCUGGAGAUGUCCAAAUGACAGAGGUUUUAAAAAACAAUCUUACACCGAGUAAAAGGCCGCGAGCAGAAGGU